UUAAAUAAAUCUAUCAUAAUAUUAAUUUUUAUAUAAAAAUAAUUUAUAAAUAAUCUUCACAAACUAACACUUAUACUACCGUAAGGGAAACAUAUAAUAAAAUAAAGUAGUUAUAAAUAAACAUACCUUGUGCAUAAUGGUUUUACAAGAACAAAUUUCAUAAUUUACUCCCGAAUUCUUAAUGAGCUGACUUUUUAAUGCUAAGACCUAACUACUAGUUGUGUCAAAAACUUUAGAAUAUAAAAAAUCAGAGGCUACAUACCAACCGCAUAAGAAAAUCUCUGGUUUCCAUAUAAAUUUAUAUAUUAAAUCAAUUAUAUAAAACAAUAUAUAAUAUGUUAAAUAAUAGAGGAUAAGCCCUAUUAUAUAUUCAAUAAACAAUUAUUAAAAUUAAUAAAGUAGGCCUAAAAUCAGCCAUCUUAUAAUACGUCACAGUACCAAGAACACUAUAAUUAAUAAACUAAAAUGACACAUAUAAAUGGAUAUGCAUAUAAACCUAAUAUGUAAUAACUCUGUAAAAACAAGUAUUAUUUUUAUUAUAUAUAAAACAACUAAACAUAAAAUAAAUAUAUAAAUAACUAUUAACUUUUAUUAAGAAACUCGGCAAAUACCUAUUUCGACUGUUUACCAAAAACAUUGCUUCCUGAAAAUAAUAUGAAGUAAUCUCCUGCCCAGUGAAUAUAUUUUAACGGCCGCGGUAUCCUAACCGUGCAAAGGUAACAUAAUAAUUUGCCCAUUAAUUGUGGGCUAGCAUGAACGGGGUAACGAAAUAAGCACUGUCUCAAUAAAACCAACAAAAACUAAUAUCCAAGUGAAGAAGCUUAGAUAUAAUUAAAGGACAAGAAGACCCUAUAGAGCUUUAUCUUUUUAUGUAUAAACAAACUAAAGAUUGGGUUGGGGCGACCAUGGAUAAAUCAUCCAUAAUAUUUAAGACAAACUAGUCAAUUAAUAGAUCCUUUUAAGAUCACAGAAUCAAGCUACCUUAGGGAUAACAGGCUAAUCCUAUUAAAGAGCUCUUAUCGACAAUAGGGAUUGGCACCUCGAUGUUGGCUUAGAAUAUCUUUAAGGCGCAGAAGUCAUAAAAAGAGGGUUUGUUCAACCCAUAAUAUUCUACAUGAGCUGAGUUCAGACCGGCGUAAGCCAGGUUAGUUUCUAUCCUUAAUAUCCAGUAAAAUUUACAGUACGAAAGGACCUAAAUUUUAUAUAAUAUAUAAAAAAUAAAUAAAUACAAUAAAAUAUAAAACAAAUUCUCUAUACACUAUA
This 1263-nucleotide ribosomal RNA is filed under the name Mesenchytraeus cf. gelidus SL-2017. Its description in RNAcentral is "partial 16S large subunit ribosomal RNA". The stretch from base 831 to 1163 matches the Rfam family "Bacterial large subunit ribosomal RNA", at positions 2072 to 2648 of the family's 2925-position model. The record is from RNAcentral. Lineage: Eukaryota; Metazoa; Annelida; Clitellata; Enchytraeida; Enchytraeidae.